Molecule: long non-coding RNA, 270 nt
Filed under: Lathyrus oleraceus (garden pea)
Lineage: Eukaryota; Viridiplantae; Streptophyta; Magnoliopsida; Fabales; Fabaceae
Description: Pisum sativum (pea) long non-coding RNA (PSAT_LNC007184)
Source: RNAcentral
CAAACACACCCGCGCACAUGAUAUAACACCCUACUUUCUUACUCAACAAUUAAUUAAAUAAAACAUGUAAAACACAUAUAUCCUCCAAGUAGGAUGUUACUCGACAAAAAUCAAACUCAUAUUUGAACCACAUAAUUGAAAAUGAAAGCAGCGACAAUUAUAAAAAUAUUUGGUAUUAAAAGUCUCAACAACAUUAAUAGUUUGAAAAGUGGUUCAUCAUCAAACAAAUAAAAAGAAAGAUAUGCAACAUAAAAUAAAUAAAAUAACAAC